This 528-nucleotide ribosomal RNA is filed under the name Clostridia bacterium. Its description in RNAcentral is "partial 23S ribosomal RNA". It matches the Rfam family "Bacterial large subunit ribosomal RNA", at positions 1 to 528 of the family's 2925-position model. The record is from RNAcentral. Lineage: Bacteria; Bacillati; Bacillota; Clostridia.
GAUCAAGCUACAAAGAGCAUAUAGGGAAUGCCUUGGCACUAAACGCCGAUGAAGGACGCGACUAACUGCGAUAAGCUACGGGAAGCUGUAAAUGAGCAAUGAUCCGUAGGUCUCCGAAUGCGGAAACGCACUAUGGUGGAGCCAUAGUAUCAUAACAUGAAUACAUAAUGUUAUGAAGGGAACCCAGUGAACUGAAACAUCUAAGUAACUGGAGGAAAAGAAAGUAAACUAACGAUUACCUAAGUAGUGGCGAGCGAAAGGGUAACAGCCCAAACCAUGGGUAGCAAUAUCCAUGGGGUUUAGGACUCAGUGAGUAGUGGAAGUACUUAUAGUUGAACAUAUCUGGAAAGAUGGGCAAUAUAGAGUAAAAGCCUCGUAGACGAAAUAAGUAUCAAAUGAAUGAGUAUCCAGAGUAAUGUGGGACACGUGAAAUCCUGCAUGAAGAUAGGAGGACCAUCUCCAAAGGCUAAAUACGAUUUAGUGACCGAUAGCGAAUAGUACCGUGAGGGAACGGUGAAAAGAACCCCG